RNAcentral lists this long non-coding RNA (293 nucleotides) under Elaeis guineensis (African oil palm). RNAcentral's name for it is "long non-coding RNA (EGUI_LNC057621)". Lineage: Eukaryota; Viridiplantae; Streptophyta; Magnoliopsida; Arecales; Arecaceae. The record is from RNAcentral.
CCUACGGUUCCCAUUGCACCCCAUUUUUAGCAAUGUCUUUGACUUUUAUAGGGUCCAUCCUACUCAAAUAACUCCAAAUGCCAUUAGGAUGAUUAUAAUAUUCAUAAUUAUGUGUAACUUCCUUCACAUAAACCUUAGGAUCUCUUUAUUUAGAUCUUUGGUCCUUUUGAAAUGGCAUCCAAUCGAGAAGGGUUGGUGGUACUUUUCUCUUUGAAAAAGUCAUAAAUUCAGAUCUAGUCUUCUCUCUUCGAUUCACGACUGGAAAGGUCAUUUUUUCUUUGUCUGGGCUCCCA